Molecule: ribosomal RNA, 253 nt
Filed under: uncultured bacterium
Lineage: Bacteria
Description: partial 16S ribosomal RNA
Rfam family: Bacterial small subunit ribosomal RNA
Source: RNAcentral
GACAGAGGGUGCAAACGUUGUUCGGAAUUACUGGGCGUAAAGCGUGUGUAGGCGGCUUGGCAAGUCGGAUGUGAAAGCCCUGGGCUCAACCCAGGAAGUGCACUCGAUACUGCCGAGCUUGAGUAUCGGAGAGGUUGGUGGAAUUCUCGGUGUAGAGGUGAAAUUCGUAGAUAUUCGGAAGAACACCAGUGGCGAAGGCGACUUACUGGACGAUUGUUGACGCUGAGGUGCGAAAGCGUGGGGAGCAAACAGG